Molecule: ribosomal RNA, 450 nt
Filed under: uncultured bacterium
Lineage: Bacteria
Description: partial 16S ribosomal RNA
Rfam family: Bacterial small subunit ribosomal RNA
Source: RNAcentral
GUGGGGAAUAUUGGACAAUGGGCGAAAGCCUGAUCCAGCCAUGCCGCGUGUGUGAAGAAGGUCUUCGGAUUGUAAAGCACUUUAAGUUGGGAGGAAGGGUAGUAACCUAAUACGUUGCUACUUUGACGUUACCGACAGACUAAGCACUGGCUAACUUCGUGCCAGCAGCCGCGGUAAUACGAAGGGUGCAAGCGUUAAUCGGAAUUACUGGGCGUAAAGCGCGCGUAGGUGGUUCAGUAAGUUGGAAGUGCAAUCCCCGGGCUCAACCUGGGAACUGCUUUCAAAACUGAUGAGCUAGAGUACGGUAGAGGGUGGUGGAAUUUCCUGUGUAGCGGUGAAAUGCGUAGAUAUAGGAAGGAACACCAGUGGCGAAGGCGACCACCUGGACUGAUACUGACACUGAGGUGCGAAAGCGUGGGGAGCAAACAGGAUUAGAAACCCGUGUAGUCC